This 405-nucleotide ribosomal RNA is filed under the name uncultured bacterium. RNAcentral describes it as "partial 16S ribosomal RNA". It matches the Rfam family "Bacterial small subunit ribosomal RNA", at positions 30 to 525 of the family's 1533-position model. The record is from RNAcentral.
AUUGAACGCUGGCGGCAGGCCUAACACAUGCAAGUCGAACGAGUGGCGGACGGGUGAGUAAUGUCUGGGAAACUGCCUGAUGGAGGGGGAUAACUACUGGAAACGGUAGCUAAUACCGCAUACCAUCAGAUGUGCCCAGAUGGGAUUAGCUUGUUGGUGGGGUAACGGCUCACCAAGGCGACGUUCCCUAGCUGGUCUGAGAGGAUGACGAGCCACGCUGAAACUGAGCCACGGUCCAGCCUCCUAGGGGAGGCAGCGGUGGGGAAUAUUGCACAAUGGGCGCAGGCCUGCUGCAGCCAGGCCGCGUGGAUGAAGAAGGCCUUCGGGUUGUAAAGUACGUUCAGCGGGGAGGCGUUACCCGCAGAAGAAGCACCGGCUACCUCCGUGCCAGCCGCCGCGUUAAUC